GACGAGGGAUCCAGCGUUGUUCGGAAUCAUUGGGCGUAAAGCGGGUGUAGGUGGCUUUGUAAGUCGGGUGUGAAAGCCCAGGGCUCAACCCUGGAAGUGCAUUCGAUACUGCGAAGCUUGAGUGUAGGAGAGGUUACUAGAAUUCUUGGUGUAGUGGUGAAAUACGUGAGUAUACAAGAGGAAUACCGGAGGCGAAGGCGGGUAACUGGCCUAACACUGACACUCAGACCCGAAAGCGUGGGGAUCAAACAGG
This 253-nucleotide ribosomal RNA is filed under the name uncultured bacterium. Its description in RNAcentral is "partial 16S ribosomal RNA". It matches the Rfam family "Bacterial small subunit ribosomal RNA", at positions 524 to 776 of the family's 1533-position model. The record is from RNAcentral.